AGUGUGAGGUGGCAGGAGAUGCUCUGCAGUGUGUGAGGUGGCAGUAGAUGAGAUGCUCUGCAGAGUGUGAGGAGACAGGAGAUGCUCUGCAGAGUGUGAGGUGGCAGGUAAGGCUCUGCAGAGUGUGAGGUGGCAGGAGAUGAGAUGCUCUGCAGUGUAUGAGGUGGCAGGAGAUGCUCUGCAGAGUGUGAGGUGGCAGUAGAUGAGAUGCUUUGCAGAGUGUGAGGAGAUGCUAUGCAGUGCGAGGUGGCAGGAGAUGCUCUGCAGAGUGUGAGGAGACUGGAGAUGCUCUGCAGAGUGUGUGAGGAGAUGAAAUGCUUUGCAGAGUGUGAGGAGACAGGAGAUGCUCUGCACAAUGCAUGAUGUGAUGUACCUCUUGAUAUUGUGUGUGUUUGCUUGGUACCAGUGUAAAGGUCUGACUGCCAGCAGGAGGAUGG
Molecule: long non-coding RNA, 437 nt
Filed under: Pelobates cultripes (western spadefoot toad)
Lineage: Eukaryota; Metazoa; Chordata; Amphibia; Anura; Pelobatidae
Source: RNAcentral